RNAcentral lists this ribosomal RNA (500 nucleotides) under uncultured bacterium. RNAcentral's name for it is "partial 16S ribosomal RNA". It matches the Rfam family "Bacterial small subunit ribosomal RNA", at positions 30 to 523 of the family's 1533-position model. The record is from RNAcentral.
AUUGAACGCUGGCGGAAUGCUUUACACAUGCAAGUCGAACGGCAGCACGGACUUCGGUCUGGUGGCGAGUGGCGAACGGGUGAGUAAUGUAUCGGAACGUGCCCAGUCGUGGGGGAUAACGUAGUGAAAAUUACGCUAAUACAGCAUACGAUCUAUGGAUGAAAGCGGGGGAUCGCAAGACCUCGCGCGAUUGGAGCGGCCGAUAUCAGAUUAGGUAGUUGGUGGGGUAAAGGCCCACCAAGCCAACGAUCUGUAGCUGGUCUGAGAGGACGACCAGCCACACUGGAACUGAGACACGGUCCAGACUCCUACGGGAGGCAGCAGUGGGGAAUUUUGGACAAUGGGCGAAAGCCUGAUCCAGCCAUUCCGCGUGCAGGAUGAAGGCCCUCGGGUUGUAAACUGCUUUUGUACAGAACGAAAAGGUUUCUACUAAUACUAGGAGCUCAUAACGGUACUGUAAGAAUAAGCACCGGCUAACUACGUGCCAGCCGCCGCAGUAA